UAGGGAAUCUUCGGCAAUGGGGGGAACCCUGACCGAGAAACGCCGCGUGAGUGAAGAAGGUUUUCGGAUCGUAAAGCUCUGUUGUUAAGGAAGAACGAGUGUGAGAAUGGAAAGUUCAUGCUGUGACGGUACUUAACCAGAAAGGGACGGCUAACUACGUGCCAGCAGCCGCGGUAAUACGUAGGUCCCGAGCGUUGUCCGGAUUUAUUGGGCGUAAAGCGAGCGCAUGCGGUUAGAAAAGUCUGAAGUGAAAGGCAGUGGCUCAACCAUUGUCGGCUUUGGAAACUGUUUAACUUGAUUGCAGAAGGGGAGAGUGGAGGUCCAUGUGUAGCGGUGAAAUGCGUAGAUAUAUAGAGGAGCACCGGUGGCGAAAGCGGCUCUCUGGUCUGUAACUGACGCUGAGGCUCGAAAGCGUGGGGAGCGAACAGG
This 429-nucleotide ribosomal RNA is filed under the name Bacteroidota bacterium. RNAcentral's name for it is "Bacteroidetes bacterium partial 16S ribosomal RNA". It matches the Rfam family "Bacterial small subunit ribosomal RNA", at positions 355 to 776 of the family's 1533-position model. Lineage: Bacteria; Pseudomonadati; Bacteroidota. The record is from RNAcentral.